Molecule: long non-coding RNA, 1012 nt
Organism: Salvelinus namaycush (lake trout)
Lineage: Eukaryota; Metazoa; Chordata; Actinopteri; Salmoniformes; Salmonidae
Exons: 3
Source: RefSeq, a predicted model, not a curated record
GUCAUAGAUUUGGUGGGCACUGUCAUCUGUGAUCUUUGUGAUAUGACUUUCUUUAAGCACGUACUGAUGAAACUGUCACUUCAUAUUUUUUUCUUAAAGUCUACAAACGCUCUACAUUUAUUCACUCUGUGAUAUGGUUGGAUCCUAUAUGCUACUUUUAUUAUUGUCCUGUAAAUGGUUCAGUGCCUAUAAUUUAGGCUGUGUGUAGAAUGGAGCAUAAAGGAAAUUACCUCUACUAAUAAAUUACUACUAGAUUAUAGUAAUAAGGAAAAAAGCAUACAAAUUUGGCUCAGGUAUUCAUUAGUUAUAGGCAAAUCAGAAUACUUCAAAAUGAGAAGAUCCUGCCAUGGAAAAUAACUCACACCAUGCAGCAGGACACCUUCAGCUGUGGGGUCUUUGUAAUGCAGGUUUGAUAGUUACAUUUUCAAUAAUGAAUGGUUAGCUGUUGUGAAAAUUAGGUCAAAAAUUAUUUUAUUUUUUGGUGUAGAUGGCCAAGGAAGGUCCACAGAACUUCCCCAACAUCCCCUCCCACAUUGAUAUGGAACUUUGAAAAACACAUGGAGCAACUGCGAAAAGAAACGGCCGAGGAUAUACUAAAAAUGCAUGUUCAACAAAGCCAACAACUGCUUCAUGUGUGCCACUGAUAAAGAACCUGGAUGUGGCCCAAAGACUGGGAAUGAAGACAAGAGUUCAACAGAGUAAAGAACACAAACUGGAAGUGCAGUCUUUGUUGUUGAAAAUGUAUGCUAUACCCCAUCCACACUGAAGAGGCUCUGAAAUGUACAUCAACCAGGGAUAAAGAGAAAGUUAACACUGUUUCAUACUUAAUUGAAGUUAAUUGUCUGUUGGAAAAGAUUAAAGGUCUACAAAUUGUUUAAUUUGUCAAUAUUACAUUUUUAUUCAUUGAUUUUCUGGUCACCAUUACUGUGGUUACAUGUUCAGUAUAUGUAUUGACCAGCAAACCCACUGCAGCCUACCUCACUAGCUCACUCUCCAUCCCCGUUUUGGAGAA